UACGGAGGGUGCGAGCGUUAACCGGAAUAAUUGGGCGUAAAGGGUACGCAGGCGGAUUUUUAAGUGAGGUGUGAAAUCCCGAGGCUUAACCUGGGAAAUGCAUUUCAAACUGUGAAUCUAGAGUACUGUAGGGAGAGGUGGAAUUCCAAGUGUAGCGGUGAAAUGCGUAGAGAUUUGGAGGAAUACCGGUGGCGAAGGCGGCCUCUUGG
RNAcentral lists this ribosomal RNA (209 nucleotides) under uncultured bacterium. Its description in RNAcentral is "partial 16S ribosomal RNA". It matches the Rfam family "Bacterial small subunit ribosomal RNA", at positions 524 to 732 of the family's 1533-position model. The record is from RNAcentral.